GAUGAACGCUGGCGGCGUGCCUAAUACAUGCAAGUCGAGCGAACGGACGAGAAGCUUGCUUCUCUGAUGUUAGCGGCGGACGGGUGAGUAACACGUGGAUAACCUACCUAUAAGACUGUGAUAACUUCGGGAAACCGGAGCUAAUACCGGAUAAUAUUUUGAACCGCAUGGUUCAAAAGUGAAAGACGGUCUUGCUGUCACUUAUAGAUGGAUCCGCGCUGCAUUAGCUAGUUGGUAAGGUAACGGCUUACCAGGGCAACGAUGCAUAGCCGACCUGAGAGGGUGAUCGGCCACACUGGAACUGAGACACGGUCCAGACUCCUACGGGAGGCAGCAGUAGGGAAUCUUCCGCAAUGGGCGAAAGCCUGACGGAGCAACGCCGCGUGAGUGAUGAAGGUCUUCGGAUCGUAAAACUCUGUUAUUAGGGAAGAACAUAUGUGUAAGUAACUGUGCACAUCUUGACGGUACCUAAUCAGAAAGCCACGGCUAACUACGUG
This 497-nucleotide ribosomal RNA is filed under the name uncultured bacterium. RNAcentral describes it as "partial 16S ribosomal RNA". It matches the Rfam family "Bacterial small subunit ribosomal RNA", at positions 28 to 507 of the family's 1533-position model. The record is from RNAcentral.